UAGCGGCGGACGGGUGAGUAACGCGUGGGAAUAUGCCCAAAGGUACGGAAUAGCCUCGGGAAACUGGGAGUAAUACCGUAUGUGCCCUUCGGGGGAAAGAUUUAUCGCCUUUGGAUUAGCCCGCGUUGGAUUAGGUAGUUGGUGGGGUAAUGGCCUACCAAGCCCGACGAUCCAUAGCUGGUUUGAGAGGAUGAUCAGCCACACUGGGACUGAGACACGGCCCAGACUCCUACGGGAGGCAGCAGUGGGGAAUCUUAGACAAUGGGGGAAACCCUGAUCUAGCCAUGCCGCGUGAGCGAUGAAGGCCUUAGGGUUGUAAAGCUCUUUCAGCUGGGAAGAUAAUGACGGUACCAGCAGAAGAAGCCCCGGCUAACUCCGUG
Molecule: ribosomal RNA, 380 nt
Filed under: uncultured bacterium
Lineage: Bacteria
Description: bacterial SSU rRNA
Rfam family: Bacterial small subunit ribosomal RNA
Source: RNAcentral